UACGUAGGGUCCGAGCGUUGUCCGGAGUUACUGGGCGUAAAGCGCGCGCAGGCGGCCCGCCAAGACCGGCGUGAAAGCCCCCGGCUCAACCGGGGAGGGUCGUCGGUGACUGGCGGGCUCGAGGACGGCAGGGGUCGGUGGAAUGCCCGGUGUAGUGGUGAAAUGCGUAGAGAUCGGGCGGAACACCCGUGGCGAAGGCGGCCGACUGGGCCGGUCCUGACGCUGAGGCG
Molecule: ribosomal RNA, 230 nt
Filed under: uncultured microorganism
Description: partial 16S ribosomal RNA
Rfam family: Bacterial small subunit ribosomal RNA
Source: RNAcentral